CUGUAACUUACAAAAGCUAUGAGACGAAUAGCUUGGCUUAGAUAGCGAUGAAGGACGUGGCAAGCUGCGAUAAGCUUGGGGGAGGCGCAUGCGGCCUUUGAACCCGAGAUCUCCGAAUGCAACAACGUUUACGCAAGUAAAUUCCGAGAGGAAAGCGUACGCCGGGAAUUGAAACAUCUUAGUACCGGCAGGAAAAGAAAAUAAAAAUGAUUCCCCUAAUAGCAGCGAGCGAAAAGGGAAUAGGGCAAACUGAAUCUCCUUUCGAAAGGAAGGCAGAGAUGUGGUGGAGGUUAAGCCCCUGUUGAUGAGCUGAAGUUCUCUGGAACGAGACACUUUAGAGGGUGAUAGUCCCGUAGGCAAAAUCAACGAGGUAUACUCUGAAAGAGUAGGGCUCCCUGGAUCGGAAGUCCGAAUAUGGCGGGAUUAACCGCUAACCCUAAAUAUAAAUCUAAGUCCGAUAGCAAACAAGUACCGCGAGGGAAAGCUGAAAAGUACUCUUAAUAGAGGGUUAAAAGACUUGAAAUCUCGUAGCGACAUAAUGGUUACGGCAUUACGGUGUCGUAACGUGCGUUUUGAAAAACGAGCCAAGGAGUUUGUGUAAGUGGCAAGGUUAAUGAAAAGAAGCCGUAGCGAAAGCGAGUCCGAAAAGGCGUUAGUCACUUAUACCAGACCCGAAGCCAGAUGAUCUACUCUUGAGCAGGACGAAGUUUUUCGAAAGGAGAAUGGAGGUCCGAACUAGUGCUACAUGCAUGUGCUUGGAUGAUUUGAGAGUGGGGGUGAAAAGCCUAUCGAAUCUGGCGAUGGCUGGUUCCUGUCGAAAUAUGCCUAAGUAUAGUCUUGUUGAGCUUGUUGGCGGGGUAAAGUACGGAUAGAACUUGCAGACCAUUUUUGGUACGGGGUUUCUUUCCAACUCAGAACUUGUCAACUGUAUUCAACAGGAAUGGCGGGCGGGGCGUAAGGUUCCGUUCGAAGACCCGAACAAGGGAGACUGGAGUUAAGGUCCCUAAAAAUAUGUUAAGUGUAACAAAGGGAGUCUUGAACCUAAGACAGUAGGGAUGUAGGCUUAGAAGCAGCCAUCAUUUAAAGAAAGCGUAACAGCUCACCUAUCGAGGUUCGAGGCCCCGAAGAUGGACAGGGCUAAACAUAUUACCGACACUUCAGAGGCGCUCGUGUUUGAGCGUUCUGGUAGGCAGGCAUACUUUCUGCGUAGAAGUCCUUUCGUAAGAAAAGAUGGAGCGGGAAGUAGAGAAAAUCUUGGCAUCAGUAAGAUCAAAUUAUCCUGAGAAUGGAUAGCGUCGUAAGAGCAAGGUUUCCUUGGCACUAUUGUUUAACCAAGGGUUAGUCAGCCCCUAAGUCAACUCUUAACUGCGGUUGGCGAUGGAAAUCCGGUUAAUAUUCCGGAACCGGCUGCUUUCGUUUAGUGCACGAUUUGUUUUUGGAUAUGUGGCAUUUCGAGAGAAAUGUGGUGUGCGAAAUAAGUGGAGCGUAAUGCAUAGAUACUUAAGAAUCACAUCAGGCGACCCAUAGAUUCCGGGAGCCCAUGAAAAGAUUGUGCAUAUCUUCAACUCGCAAGAGUUGGAGAGACAGAGAAUUUAUUCUCUGUAGAAAGUAGUUGGCUGUACCGAGAACUGACACUGGUGCUCUAGCUGAGAAGGCUAAGACGUGAAAGGUAUAAAUUGGUUAAGGGAACUCGGCAUAUUGGCCCCGUAGCUUCGGUAGAAGGGGUGUCUAUAGAAGUCCUUGAUAUGUAGAGGGCUUUGGUAGAUUGCAAUAACACGGACCGCCCGACUGUUUAUCAAAAACGUAGCCGAUUGCAAAUCCGAAAGGACUAGUAUAAUCGGUGAGACCUGCCCAGUGGUGGUGUUUCAAACCCUCGUUCAAGAGGGCUAAGACCCAUCAAACGGCGGACCUAACUAUGAGGUUCUUAAGGUUGAACUUUUAAGAACUGCCUUACAUUAAAUUAAAAAAUAAUUUAGUGCUCUAGACUUCAUAGUCUUCAAUCACGCAAGUGUUGAAGAGACAGAGAAUUUUUACAAUUCUCUGUAUUAGAAAAUGAUAAACAUAAAAACAAUUAGAGAAAAUCUAGCUAUUUGCUGGAACAUCCGAGAAUAUUUUAGUACUUUAGAAAUAAAGUAAAAAUCUAAAAUCGCGGACAAUCAGCAGGAAAGAUUAGUUAUUAAUUAACUAAAAUCCUCAGAGACUUUACGCUAGAAAUAAUUAAAAAAUAAUUAUUAAGAUAAAGUCCGAUCCUUAUAGCGAUAUAAGGUGUGUGUUAGAAUUAACAGACAGUAAAACUCGAUGAGCGUAAUGCCUUGUCAUCUGAAUGGUGACGUGCAUGAAUGGUUUAACGAGGUGGUCACUGUCCCUAACCAAAUCCUUCUGAAAUUAUUGACCGGUGAAAAUGCCGGUAUCACCUAGUGGGAAGCGGAGACCUUGUGAACCUUUACUGCAACUUGUUGUUGUAGUGUUAAGAAGAAUACAUAGCAUAAGUAGGAGCGUAGAUGUCUAGCUUCGGCGAAGACGGAGCAACCUUGUAAUACUACUUAUUCUUUUUGACAUUGCUCACCCGGGAGGGGACACCAGCAGGCGGGCAGUUUGGCUGGGGCGGCACCCUGCCGAAAAGAUAUCGGCAGGGCCUAUAUGGUAAGCUCAUCCAGGUUGGAAAUCUGGAGUUGAGUGCGAAGGCAAAAGCUUACCUGACUGUGUUUCGCACAGCAAGAAACGCAGAGACGAAAGUCGGGCUUAGCGACCCCACGUAGUUUUUUAAUAGGACUCGUGUGUGGCAGAAAAGGUACUCCAAGGAUAACAGGCUUGUCGCGCCCGAUAGUUCAUAUUGACGGCGCGGUUUGGUACAUCGCUGUCGGCUCUUCCUAUCCUGGCUGUGCACAAGCAGCCAAGGGUGUCGGAGUUCACGCAUUAAAAGGGAUCGUUAGCUGGGUUAAGAACGUCAAAUAUAACGCUAACGAUUCUGUACUAACCGCAACUAUCAAAAUACGCGGCGUUGCGUGCACUUCAACUUGUGAAAGUUGAAGUUCCAGCGGAACGAAGUUCUGCUAGGAGAGAAAUUGCACGAAAAAUAAAAUCAGCUCAUAUCGGUGAAACCUUUUUACUUUAAAUGUAGUAAGAUGGUAAUACCGAGGGAAGAUUAUAGUUAGAUUUAAAUAAGGGUAAUUUUUGAGAUUCAAAUGGAAAACUUGAGAAUCGGAACACAUCAAUUACCUAAUCAAGGUGAAAAUCUUGGUAAAUUAGUUGAAUUAGUUCUUAAAGAAGAUAGAACUGAUAGAAAGUUAACCGGUAAAAUAGUAAGAGAUGAUAUAGAUUCUCCUUAUAAAACAAUUAUUGAAGUAGAAGAAGAGGGCAGAAAACUAUAUUUUCUUGAUAAUGAAUGUCGUUAUCAAAUUUUACCAAAUCAAUAACUAUAUAUCCCCGUAGAGACUUAGAUUUUUUAUUGAAAAAUAAAAUAGGAACGUCAAUUCCGAAAAAUCUGGACUUGUAAUUAAUUUACAGGUAACACGCUGAUCCCCUAACUCGAAAGAGAAGGGCGAUGGUAUAGUCCAUACAAAACAAAUACAUAAGUUUUGAUUAAUAUACGCGAGACAGUUUGUAUGAUAUCUACUAGGUGCGCUAUUGUCUGAGUGGAACGAUCUCUGAGUACGAGAGGAACGGAGAUCGGAUGCCUCUGGUUUAGCAGUUGUUAUGAGCAGGCUGCGCAGCUACGCAUUAAUGGAUAAGUACUGAAGGCAUCUAAGUACGAAGCCAUCCGCAAGACGAGACAAUGUAGGCCGUCAAAGAAGAUGACGUUGAUAGAGAUGAUGUGUAAGAUCCAAGAACACGAGGAUUUCAGCAUGCAUCUACUAAUAGCCACAUAAAUUUCAAAU
This 3878-nucleotide ribosomal RNA is filed under the name bacterium. Its description in RNAcentral is "23S ribosomal RNA". The stretch from base 1 to 3054 matches the Rfam family "Archaeal large subunit ribosomal RNA". The record is from RNAcentral.